GGCACACAACUACAACUCCUCCUCCACAACCUCCUUCUACUAGUAGAGCCUCUACCAGGACUACUGUGACCAAUUCAAAGCAUACUUCAUCUCCUUCUCCUCCACCUCCUCCUGUCACUACCACCAGACCCUCCACUAGGAAUGCUUCAAGGUCUACCAAUAAUUCAAGGCAUACAACUACAACUUCAUCUCCUCCUCCUCCACAACCUCCUCCUACUAGUAGAGCCUCUACCAGGACUACUGUGACCAAUUCAAAGCCUUCCACUGCCAGGAAAGACACGCCUCCUCUUAUCAUUGAUAGCAUACAGGAUGUAGCUUCUCCUUCUAAAGCUGCUCCAAUUGAUCAGUUGCCUAAUGCUUCUCCUUUGAAGACUGUUGUGAAGUCAAGGAGGAAACGGAAGAAAAUAACUUGCCCUCCACCACGACGACGCCAACCAACCAAGAGGACUAUCACUGAGAUCACUCGAAGGACUGAUCUCACUCCUGGAGUAAGGAGGAGUAACAGACCGAAUAUUAAGAGGGUGCCAAUUGGUGGAUAUGUAGAGUAUAAGGACCACUGGGGGAACACACCCAGCAAUACU
Molecule: long non-coding RNA, 581 nt
Organism: Amphimedon queenslandica
Lineage: Eukaryota; Metazoa; Porifera; Demospongiae; Haplosclerida; Niphatidae
Exons: 5
Source: RefSeq, a predicted model, not a curated record